Molecule: transfer RNA, 71 nt
Filed under: Camelus bactrianus (Bactrian camel)
Lineage: Eukaryota; Metazoa; Chordata; Mammalia; Artiodactyla; Camelidae
Also listed under: 2 other names
Rfam family: tRNA
About the family: Transfer RNA (tRNA) molecules are approximately 80 nucleotides in length. Their secondary structure includes four short double-helical elements and three loops (D, anti-codon, and T loops).
Source: Rfam by way of RNAcentral
GGACAUACAGCUCAGUGGUGGAGCACAUGCUUAGCAUGCAUGAGGUCCUGGGUUCAAUCCCAGUACCUCCA